This 253-nucleotide ribosomal RNA is filed under the name uncultured bacterium. RNAcentral's name for it is "partial 16S ribosomal RNA". It matches the Rfam family "Bacterial small subunit ribosomal RNA", at positions 524 to 776 of the family's 1533-position model. The record is from RNAcentral.
UACGGAGGGUGCAAGCGUUAUCCGGAUUCACUGGGUUUAAAGGGUGCGUAGGUGGGCAGGUAAGUCAGUGGUGAAAUCUCCGGGCUUAACCCAGAAACUGCCAUUGAUACUAUUUGUCUUGAAUACUGUGGAGGUCAGCGGAAUAUGUCAUGUAGCGGUGAAAUGCUUAGAUAUGACAUAGAACACCAAUUGCGAAGGCAGCUGGCUACACAAAUAUUGACACUGAGGCACGAAAGCGUGGGGAUCAAACAGG